RNAcentral lists this transfer RNA (553 nucleotides) under uncultured cyanobacterium. RNAcentral's name for it is "partial contains 16S ribosomal RNA, 16S-23S ribosomal RNA intergenic spacer, and 23S ribosomal RNA". The stretch from base 211 to 283 matches the Rfam family "tRNA". Lineage: Bacteria; Bacillati; Cyanobacteriota. The record is from RNAcentral.
CAGGGAGACAACAAAAUGUUUAAUAUUAUUAUUUUGUCACCUUUGGUCGAUCGGUAUCUCACAUUCUUAAUUUAUUAAGGAUUUCUUUUCCUAAGUUUUUCUAGGUCACACCCAUUAUUUUCCUGGGCCAUUAGCUCAGGUGGUUAGAGCGCACCCCUGAUAAGGGUGAGGUCCCUGGUUCAAGUCCAGGAUGGCCCAUAUCUCUAUGUUGGGGGUAUAGCUCAGUUGGUAGAGCGCCUGCUUUGCAAGCAGGAUGUCAGCGGUUCGAGUCCGCUUACCUCCACUGAUUACCACCUCUUUCAUAAUUGAUUGAAAGGAAAUUUUUUGUGAUGUGAUCAAAUUCUGAACGAAUCUAGCUUCCUAAUGAAAUUACUAAAAUAAUUCAUUAAGAUGCUGGACUCAAUGAACUAAUUUCAUUGUUUUCAGAGAACCUUGACAACUGCAUAGAUUAUCUUUAAAGACAAUAAGCAUCUUUAAUGAUGCAGAUUUAUUAUUUGUGCUAAUGCAUUAAUAACAAUUCUAUUAAGCUGAUGCUUCAAUUUUUGAAGUUAUU